This 1325-nucleotide ribosomal RNA is filed under the name metagenome. RNAcentral's name for it is "bacterial LSU rRNA". It matches the Rfam family "Bacterial large subunit ribosomal RNA", at positions 1561 to 2925 of the family's 2925-position model. The record is from RNAcentral.
AGUGGAUGGGGAGCAACCUAGUUGUGCGUGUGUAAAGGUAGUGCCAAGAAAAGCGGUGAUCAUGAUGAAAAUCAAUUCCCGGUACCCGAAACCGACACAGGUGGGCAAGUAGAGAAUACUAAGGGGCGCGAGGUAACUCUCUCCAAGGAACUCGGCAAAAUGACCCCGUAACUUAGGGAGAAGGGGUGCCACCGAGAGGUGGUCGCAGUGAAGAGGCCCAGGCGACUGUUUAGCAAAAACAUAGGUCUCUGCAAACUCGAAAGAGGAGGUAUAGGGGCUGACGCCUGCCCAGUGCCGGAAGGUUAAAGAAGUUGGUCAGUCUUAGGAUGAAGCUAGCGACUGAAGCCCCGGUGAACGGCGGCCGUAACUAUAACGGUCCUAAGGUAGCGAAAUUCCUUGUCGGGUAAGUUCCGACCCGCACGAAAGGCGUAACGAUCUGGGCGCUGUCUCGGAGAGAGGCUCGGCGAAAUAGGAUUGUCUGUGAAGAUACGGACUACCUGCAUUUGGACAGAAAGACCCUAUGAAGCUUUACUAUAGCUUGGAAUUGUGUUCGGGCUUCCUGUGCGCAGGAUAGGUGGGAGGCGUAGAAGGUAUUCUUGUGGGGAUACUGGAGCCAACGGUGAGAUACCACUCUCAGGAGGCUAGAAUUCUAACUUAAUUAAGGACAGUUUCAGGUGGGUAGUUUGACUGGGGCGGUCGCCUCCAAAAAGGUAACGGAGGCGUACAAAGGUUCCCUCAGACUGGUUGGAAAUCAGUCGAAGAGUGCAAAGGCAGAAGGGAGCUUGACUGCGAGAAGUACAGUUCGAGCAGGGUGGAAACACGGUCUUAGUGAUCCGACGGUGCUGUGUGGAAGGGCCGUCGCUCAACGGAUAAAAGUUACUCUAAGGAUAACAGGCUGAUCUCCCCCAAGAGUUCACAUCGACGGGGAGUUUGGCACCUCGAUGUCGGCUCAUCGCAACCUGGGGCGGAAGUACGUCCCAAGGGUUGGGCUGUUCGCCCAUUAAAGCGGUACGUGAGCUGGGUUCAGAACGUCGUGAGACAGUUCGGUCCAUAUCCGAUGUAGGCGUGAGAAUAUUGAGAGGAGCCUUCCUUAGUACGAGAGGACCGGGAAGGACGCACCGCUGGUGUACCUGUUAUGAUGCCAAUUGUAAACGCAGGGUAGCCAAGUGCGGAGAGGAUAACCGCUGAAAGCAUCUAAGUGGGAAGCCCACCUCAAGAUGAGUAUUCUGGUGUAAGGUCACGGGAAGACGACCCGUAAAUAGGCACGAGGUGGAAGUGCAGAGAUGUAUGAAGCCGAAGUGUACUAAUAGACCGUCGGCUUGACC